Non-coding RNA from Prunus mume (Japanese apricot), 588 nucleotides. NCBI's taxonomy places the organism in Eukaryota, Viridiplantae, Streptophyta, Magnoliopsida, Rosales, Rosaceae. The record is from RefSeq and is a predicted model, not a curated record.
AUGCAGAAGGUUCCAAAUCACAAUUUUUUGAAUUCUAGUGGAUUGCAAUUUGCAAAAUUUGAAAGAAGUUUUAGAGAGACUUAGUUUGGGACAAAAUCUUGGGGUUGAAUCUAUUAAUUACCUUUUGCUCCCGGCAGCAAGAAUGCACCAGAAACCUUUGAUCAUUGAUUGGGAAUGCGUUAUGUCUGUGCCGUUUCGAUCUGAAGAAAAUUCUGAGUAUCACAUAGAUUGUUAUCUACCCAACAAUUGUUCCGGUGUUCUACGUACCAAAAAUGGUAUGGUUUGUACUUGCAGGGUCCAGAAUUCCUUGGUCUAUACCCCUCAUACUGGUCUCCUGUAUUGCAUCACUGGUUUGUUGGAUGACUUGAAUGGAAACUCACUUCUGAGACCUAGGGGCAGGAGAGCUCGUACCUACAAGACGCACUAUGAAGAAAAGUGUGGGAUCAAUUUGCGUGUUGAUCAACAUUGCUCAAGGGGAGACACAUUUUCAAGGUACAAAAUUAUCUUCUGAGUUGCAGGCAACAGAGAAAAAAAGAAUCAAAGCCUAUUGAAUUGCCACCUGAACUUUGCUCUAUAGUCAUGUCACCU